CAGAAUACAAAUUCUAAGUAAAGAAAAACGAGUGGCCAUCAUUACUUUAAGAAAUGAAGGCCAAUCAGUCCGAAAAAUUGGGAAAACUUUGAAAGUGUCCCCAAGUGCAGUCACAAAAAUCAUCAAGCGCUACAAAGAAACUGGCUCACAUGCGGACCGCCCCAGGAAAGGAAGACCAAGAGUCACCUCUGCUAAGUUCAUCCGAGUCACCAGCCUCAGAAAUCGCAGGUUAACAGCAGCUCAGAUUAGAGACCAGGUCAAUGCCACACAGAGUUCUAGCAGCAGACACAUCUCUAGAACAACUGUUAAGAGGAGACUGUGUGAAUCAGGCCUUCAUGGUAGAAUAUCUGCUAGGAAACCACUG
Long non-coding RNA from Bufo bufo (common toad), 364 nucleotides. RefSeq lists it as uncharacterized. NCBI's taxonomy places the organism in Eukaryota, Metazoa, Chordata, Amphibia, Anura, Bufonidae. The transcript has 3 exons. The record is from RefSeq and is a predicted model, not a curated record.